GACAGAAGGUACGGGCGUUAUUCGAUGUUACUGGGCGUAUAAGGUAUGUAGGCGGGCAAUAGCUUUUCUCAACAAAAGGGUAGGGUAUUCCCAUACCGAACUGAGUUUACUAUUUGUCUUGAGUUGUAGCUGAGGUCUGGAGAAUUUCGAAGGAAGGGGUAGAAUCCUGCCAUCUUCGAACGAUUACCAAAGGCGAAGGCACCUUUCCGAGUACAACUGACGCUGAGGUACGGAAGCUUGGGGCGCAAACAGG
This 253-nucleotide ribosomal RNA is filed under the name uncultured bacterium. RNAcentral describes it as "partial 16S ribosomal RNA". It matches the Rfam family "Bacterial small subunit ribosomal RNA", at positions 524 to 776 of the family's 1533-position model. The record is from RNAcentral.